AUAACUUCGAUGACGAGAACAAGUACGCUUUGAUUUCAUUCCCCAGAGAGCCGUGUAUUGCUGAAAAACGGCGUUUGAACCCUAGCGGAAUAUCCUCUCCGAGAAGCGGCGCAGAAACCUGCUUGCAGACGAUGUUCAAAAAUUCGGCUUUACCGCCUUUUGGAACGUUCUUCUGAAGAAGGUUAGUAAGCGUCGACGGCGUCCCCCGUUACAGGGAGUGCGGAUGAAUGUCCGCAGCUAAGUGCCGCAGCCGGCAGGCAUUAAAGCCCAGCCAGGCGUUGUUCGCUCAUUGCGAAGAAUUAUGCGGAAUCAGGGUGGUAUCGCGAGCUAUAGCCUCGUCCCUUUU
RNAcentral lists this non-coding RNA (346 nucleotides) under Paenibacillus sp. RNAcentral describes it as "T-box sequence". It matches the Rfam family "T-box leader". From Rfam's summary of the family: Uncharged tRNA acts as the effector for transcription antitermination of genes in the T-box leader family. The record is from RNAcentral. Lineage: Bacteria; Bacillati; Bacillota; Bacilli; Caryophanales; Paenibacillaceae.